GGAUUAGAUACCCUGGUAGUCCACGCCGUAAACGAUGGACACUAGCUGGUGGGUUCGUAUGGAUUCACUGGCGGAGCUAACGCAUUAAGUGUCCCGCCUGGGGAGUACGUCCGCAAGGAUGAAACCCAAAGGAAUUGACGGGGGCCCGCACAAGCGGUGGAGCAUGUGCUUUAAUUCGAUGCAACGCGAAGAACCUUACCUGGCCUUGACAUACCAAUGCCUACUGCAGAGAUGUGGUUUUUUCUUCGGAAACAUUGGAUACAGGUGCUGCAUGGUUGUCGUCAGCUCGUGUCG
RNAcentral lists this ribosomal RNA (294 nucleotides) under uncultured bacterium. RNAcentral describes it as "partial 16S ribosomal RNA". It matches the Rfam family "Bacterial small subunit ribosomal RNA", at positions 775 to 1067 of the family's 1533-position model. The record is from RNAcentral.